CGUGAUUUGGGCUAUAUUACGGACCCAAAAUUACUUUUUCAAGCAUUGUUUUCGAAUAUUUUUCAUGCAUCAAAGCUCGUUAAGACUAGAUGGGGUAUCCCUACAUGGCGGGUGGGACCCACGGCGAACGGUUCAUCAAGACUUAAAAAAAGAAUAGAUACGAUUGCAUUGCAUAUACUAACGGAUGCGAUCAUACCAGCACUAAUGCACCGGAUCCCAUCAGAACUCCGCAGUUAAGCGUGCUUGGGCGAGAGUAGUACUAGGAUGGGUGAUCUCCCGGGAAGUCCUCGUGUUGCAUCCCUCUUUUUUUUUUUUUUUUUUUGGUUAAAACUUUAUGACUCUAUAACUUCUAUACCGUGAGGCCAAACUUGGCAUGUGAUACCUUUUCGGAAAGCCCAAAGAGAGCCCUCCGACGAAAGAAGCAAGACAAUGGAACAUUUCCAUUGACUUUUUGUCGACUCCAAUUUUGACCUUACCUACUUUUCGGGAAUCACUA
RNAcentral lists this ribosomal RNA (496 nucleotides) under Arabidopsis thaliana (thale cress). Lineage: Eukaryota; Viridiplantae; Streptophyta; Magnoliopsida; Brassicales; Brassicaceae. The record is from RNAcentral.